AAUUGGAGGCUUUACCAAGGUGGCUUCUUCAUGGGCCAACUUCUAACACUUUACAUCAAUUACAUAUUUCAAAUUGCCCAAGCUUGAGAGCAUUGCCAGAAAGUGGGUUGCAAAAGCUCGUAUACCUUCAAAAACUUGAGAUUCAAGAUUGUCCUGAAUUGAUUGGAAGAUGCAAACCUGAAACGGGGGAAGAUUGGCAAAAAAUCGCUCAUAUACCUAAAAUAUAUCUUGAUGGAGAAAAGAUUGCAUCGUUAACCAAUAAUUAGGCGGACUGGGUGAGAAAUGGAGAGUUGACCUGGAAAUGGAGGACUAAUCAAAUAUGGUUCUUCUGCUAUGAUUGGAUGAUGCGGUUGGAAUUUGGAAGUUGGAAGAGAGUUGAUGGAGCUGGAAAUGGAGGACUGAUCAAAGCUAGUGUUUGGGUCCUUGCUUGCUUACCAGUCUUUUUCUUGAUUCUUAACUUGUUGCUUCAGUGCUGAAUUCUGGAGUGGUGUGCUUGUUUAUUAUUUGUCUUAUUUUCACAUAGACUCAUGUGUAAGGUUGCUUUGGUUGUUUGGAGUUUGGAGUGUGAACUUUGAUUUAGUUUACAAUAAAAGAUUGAUGGAUUCAUUUAUCAAUCAAAUAUAUGAAUGAUAA
Molecule: long non-coding RNA, 633 nt
Organism: Vitis riparia (riverbank grape)
Lineage: Eukaryota; Viridiplantae; Streptophyta; Magnoliopsida; Vitales; Vitaceae
Exons: 2
Source: RefSeq, a predicted model, not a curated record